This 468-nucleotide ribosomal RNA is filed under the name uncultured bacterium. Its description in RNAcentral is "partial 16S ribosomal RNA". It matches the Rfam family "Bacterial small subunit ribosomal RNA", at positions 28 to 507 of the family's 1533-position model. The record is from RNAcentral.
GACGAACGCUGGCGGCGUGCUUAACACAUGCAAGUCGAACGGAAAGGCCCUGCUUUUGUGGGGUGCUCGAGUGGCGAACGGGUGAGUAACACGUGAGUAACCUGCCCUUGACUUUGGGAUAACUUCAGGAAACUGGGGCUAAUACCGGAUAGGAGCUCCUGCUGCAUGGUGGGGGUUGGAAAGUUUCGGCGGUUGGGGAUGGACUCGCGGCUUAUCAGCUUGUUGGUGGGGUAGUGGCUUACCAAGGCUUUGACGGAUAGCCGGCCUGAGAGGGUGACCGGGCACAAUGGGCCUGAGAGAGGGACCAGACUCCAACGGGAGGCAGCAGUGGGGAGUAUUACACAAUGGGCGGAAGCCUGAUGCAACGACGCUGCGUGCGGGAUGACGGCCUUCGGGUUGUGAACCGCUUUCGCCUGUGACGAAGCGUGAGUGACGGUAAUGGGUAAAGAAGCACCGGCUAACUACGUG